RNAcentral lists this ribosomal RNA (515 nucleotides) under uncultured bacterium. RNAcentral describes it as "bacterial SSU rRNA". It matches the Rfam family "Bacterial small subunit ribosomal RNA", at positions 501 to 1017 of the family's 1533-position model. The record is from RNAcentral.
CUACGUGCCAGCAGCCGCGGUAAUACGGAGGGUGCGAGCGUUAAUCGGAAUAACUGGGCGUAAAGGGCACGCAGGCGGUUAUUUAAGUGAGGUGUGAAAGCCCCGGGCUUAACCUGGGAAUUGCAUUUCAGACUGGGUAACUAGAGUACUUUAGGGAGGGGUAGAAUUCCACGUGUAGCGGUGAAAUGCGUAGAGAUGUGGAGGAAUACCGAAGGCGAAGGCAGCCCCUUGGGAAUGUACUGACGCUCAUGUGCGAAAGCGUGGGGAGCAAACAGGAUUAGAUACCCUGGUAGUCCACGCUGUAAACGCUGUCGAUUUGGGGAUUGGGCUUUAAGCUUGGUGCCCGUAGCUAACGUGAUAAAUCGACCGCCUGGGGAGUACGGCCGCAAGGUUAAAACUCAAAUGAAUUGACGGGGGCCCGCACAAGCGGUGGAGCAUGUGGUUUAAUUCGAUGCAACGCGAAGAACCUUACCUACUCUUGACAUCCAUGGAAUCUUGUAGAGAUACGGGAGUGC